RNAcentral lists this ribosomal RNA (509 nucleotides) under Ochrobactrum sp. HOB2. Its description in RNAcentral is "bacterial SSU rRNA". It matches the Rfam family "Bacterial small subunit ribosomal RNA", at positions 61 to 618 of the family's 1533-position model. Lineage: Bacteria; Pseudomonadati; Pseudomonadota; Alphaproteobacteria; Hyphomicrobiales; Brucellaceae. The record is from RNAcentral.
GUCGAGCGCCCCGCAAGGGGAGCGGCAGACGGGUGAGUAACGCGUGGGAACGUACCAUUUGCUACGGAAUAACUCAGGGAAACUUGUGCUAAUACCGUAUGAGCCCGAAAGGGGAAAGAUUUAUCGGCAAAUGAUCGGCCCGCGUUGGAUUAGCUAGUUGGUGGGGUAAAGGCCUACCAAGGCGACGAUCCAUAGCUGGUCUGAGAGGAUGAUCAGCCACACUGGGACUGAGACACGGCCCAGACUCCUACGGGAGGCAGCAGUGGGGAAUAUUGGACAAUGGGCGCAAGCCUGAUCCAGCCAUGCCGCGUGAGUGAUGAAGGCCCUAGGGUUGUAAAGCUCUUUCACCGGUGAAGAUAAUGACGGUAACCGGAGAAGAAGCCCCGGCUAACUUCGUGCCAGCAGCCGCGGUAAUACGAAGGGGGCUAGCGUUGUUCGGAUUUACUGGGCGUAAAGCGCACGUAGGCGGGCUAAUAAGUCAGGGGUGAAAUCCCGGGGCUCAACCCCGG